GUGGAGCAUGUGGUUUAAUUCGAAGCAACGCGAAGAACCUUACCAGGUCUUGACAUCCUUUGACCACUCUAGAGAUAGAGCUUUCCCUUCGGGGACAAAGUGACAGGUGGUGCAUGGUUGUCGUCAGCUCGUGUCGUGAGAUGUUGGGUUAAGUCCCGCAACGAGCGCAACCCUUAUUGUUAGUUGCCAUCAUUUAGUUGGGCACUCUAGCAAGACUGCCGGUGAUAAACCGGAGGAAGGUGGGGAUGACGUCAAAUCAUCAUGCCCCUUAUGACCUGGGCUACACACGUGCUACAAUGGACGGUACAAUGAGUUGCGAGNCCGCGANNNNNAGCUAAUCUCUUAAAGCCGUUCUCAGUUCGGAUUGUAGGCUGCAACUCGCCUACNGAAGNNNNAUCGC
RNAcentral lists this ribosomal RNA (400 nucleotides) under Vagococcus sp. AZTITEMP272. Its description in RNAcentral is "partial 16S ribosomal RNA". It matches the Rfam family "Bacterial small subunit ribosomal RNA", at positions 932 to 1335 of the family's 1533-position model. Lineage: Bacteria; Bacillati; Bacillota; Bacilli; Lactobacillales; Enterococcaceae. The record is from RNAcentral.